GGGUUAAGUCCCGCAACGAGCGCAACCCUUAUCUUAAUUGCCAGCAUUCAGUUGGGCACUUUAAAGAGACUGCCGGUGUUAAACCGGAGGAAGGUGGGAUGACGUCAAGUCCUCAUGGCCUUAUGCUUAGGGCUACACACGUGCUACAAUGGGUGGUACAAAGAGAAGCCAACUCGCGAGAGCGCGCCAAUCUCAAAAGCCAUCCUCAGUUCGGAUUGGAGUCUGCAACUCGACUCCAUGAAGUUGGAAUCGCUAGUAAUCGCGGAUCAGCAUGCCGCGGUGAAUACGUUCCCGGGCCUU
This 300-nucleotide ribosomal RNA is filed under the name uncultured Smithella sp. RNAcentral describes it as "bacterial SSU rRNA". It matches the Rfam family "Bacterial small subunit ribosomal RNA", at positions 1077 to 1382 of the family's 1533-position model. Lineage: Bacteria; Pseudomonadati; Thermodesulfobacteriota; Syntrophia; Syntrophales; Smithellaceae. The record is from RNAcentral.